Molecule: ribosomal RNA, 495 nt
Filed under: uncultured bacterium
Lineage: Bacteria
Description: partial 16S ribosomal RNA
Rfam family: Bacterial small subunit ribosomal RNA
Source: RNAcentral
GAUGAACGCUGGCGGCGUGCCUAAUACAUGCAAGUAGAACGCUGAAGGAGGAGCUUGCUCUUCUGGAUGAGUUGCGAACGGGUGAGUAACGCGUAGGUAACCUGCCUGGUAGCGGGGGAUAACUAUUGGAAACGAUAGCUAAUACCGCAUGACAACAGUUAUUGCAUGAUAACUGUUUAAAAGGGGCAACUGCUCCACUACCAGAUGGACCUGCGUUGUAUUAGCUAGUUGGUGAGGUAACGGCUCACCAAGGCGACGAUACAUAGCCGACCUGAGAGGGUGAUCGGCCACACUGGGACUGAGACACGGCCCAGACUCCUACGGGAGGCAGCAGUAGGGAAUCUUCGGCCAUGGACGGAAGUCUGACCGGGCAACGCCGCGGGAGUGAAGAAGGUUUUCGGAUCGUAAAGCUCUGUUGUAAGAGAAGAAAGAGUGUGAGAGUGGAAAGUUCACACUGUGACGGUAUCUUACCAGAAAGAGACGGCUAACUACGUG